Molecule: ribosomal RNA, 215 nt
Filed under: uncultured bacterium
Lineage: Bacteria
Description: partial 16S ribosomal RNA
Rfam family: Bacterial small subunit ribosomal RNA
Source: RNAcentral
GAGUAACGCGUGAGAAUCUGCCUUUAGGACGGGACAACAGGUUAGGGAAACGGCUGACCUAAAACCCGAUGUCGCCCUUCGGGGUGAAAUAUUUAUAGCCUGAAGAUGAGCUCGCGUCUGAUUAGCUAGUAGGUGCGGUAAUGGCGUACCUAGGCGACGAUCAGUAACUGGUCUGAGAGGAUGACCAGUCACACUGGGACUGAGACACGGCCCAG